RNAcentral lists this long non-coding RNA (1429 nucleotides) under Ovis aries (sheep). RNAcentral's name for it is "lncRNA (ENSOARG00000025975.1)". Lineage: Eukaryota; Metazoa; Chordata; Mammalia; Artiodactyla; Bovidae. The record is from RNAcentral.
AUGAAAGGAACCUCAGAGAAGAAGUGGAGAAAAUUUUGUCAGCAAAUGGCUCCCUGUAAUUCCAAAUCUUUGAGGGGAAGCCUACCCUUUUUCUCAUGUUAUUGUCUCUCUCAUUCCCAAGUUGCAUUUACUUUUUAUGAUAUCUACAUGAUCAAAUUUUAUUUCCUUUCCUUUCUGAGGUCCAUAAAGGACCAGUUCCCUGCUUCAGCCAAGCAACAACUUUACAUCUCUACAUGGUUGGUACUUACAGGUCUUAAAUCCUUAAUGUCUCCAGCUGAACUUGCAUAUAACCCCCAUACUCAGUCUUACCUCCAGUUGUAUUCCCAAGUUGCUUUGGCCAAAAGAAUGAAAAAUCAUCCUGGGAGGGGAGUAUUUUCUCCUUUGACAAUUGUCUGGUUAUCUUAUUUCAAGUUUCCUAGAUGCAAAGAUUGAGAUAGGGAUUUGGAUGCACAAAAUUCUAUGACAAGGGGGACAGUCCUUUGGAGAUUGACAGUCAUUAACUUAGUGUGUGAGUAUGAAGGAUUAAGAGUGGUAUCUAACUUUCAAGCAGGUGUUGAAUUUCUCUGUUAAAGGGAUUAGGAGUAAGCUAGCAAUGGCACCCCACUCCAGUAUUCUUGCCUGGAAAAUCCCAUGGAUAGAGGAGCCUGGAAGGCUGCAGUCCCAUGGAGUUGCUGAGGGUCAGACACGACUGAGCGACUUUACUUUCAAUUUUCACUUUCAUGCCUUGGAGAAGGAAAUGGUAACUCACUCCAGUGUAUUUGACUGGAGAAGCCCUAGGACAGGGGAGCCUGGUGGGCUGCCAUCUAUGAGGUCACACAUAGUCAGACACGACUGAAGUGACUUAGCAGCAGCAGCAGCAACCUAUUUAAACAGUACCCUGCCCAGUAGAGCAGACUUGAGUAGGCCACCAAUUUCAUGGACUACAUUCCAUGGGGUUUCAAAGAGUCAGACGCAACUGAGCAUGAAAGCAGAACCAGAGAGAGCCACAGUAUCUAUUCCAUCAACUAUAUCUAGUGGGUCACCAAGCCCAUUAACUCAAAUGUUUAAAUAAUUAUUGAUUUAGCUACAUUCCUCUAUCGUUCUAACAUUACCCUGUUCAGGGUAAUAGUUUUCCUCUUCUAAUAUAUAAUAUAUUCUACUAGUUAUUCCUCAGAAAUCCAUUAGUAGCCCUCUCUCAGUUCACUUCAGUUCAGUUCAGUUCAGUCGCUCAGUCAUGUACGACUCUUUGCAACCCCAUGAAUCGCAGCACUCCAGGCCUCCCUGUCCAUCACCAUCUCCCGGGGUUCACUCAGACUCGCGUCCAUCGAGUCAGUGAUGCCAUCCAGCCAUCUCAUCCUCUGUCGUCCCCUUCUCCUGCCCCCAAUCCUUCCCAGCAUCAGAGUCUUUUCCAAUGAGUCAACUCUUCGCAUGAGGUGGCCAAAGUACUGGA